This 284-nucleotide ribosomal RNA is filed under the name Roseburia hominis A2-183. RNAcentral describes it as "partial 16S ribosomal RNA". It matches the Rfam family "Bacterial small subunit ribosomal RNA", at positions 493 to 776 of the family's 1533-position model. Lineage: Bacteria; Bacillati; Bacillota; Clostridia; Lachnospirales; Lachnospiraceae. The record is from RNAcentral.
UCUGGUCCUUUUGUGCCCGCAGCCGCGGUAAUACGUAUGGUGCAAGCGUUAUCCGGAUUUCCUGGGUGUAAAGGGAGCGCAGGCGGUACGGCAAGUCUGAUGUGAAAUCCCGGGGCUCAACCCCGGUACUGCAUUGGAAACUGUCGGACUAGAGUGUCGGAGGGGUAAGUGGAAUUCCUAGUGUAGCGGUGAAAUGCGUAGAUAUUAGGAGGAACACCAGUGGCGAAGGCGGCUUACUGGACGAUUACUGACGCUGAGGCUCGAAAGCGUGGGGAGCAAACAGG